Molecule: ribosomal RNA, 715 nt
Filed under: uncultured bacterium
Lineage: Bacteria
Description: bacterial SSU rRNA
Rfam family: Bacterial small subunit ribosomal RNA
Source: RNAcentral
CGGACGGGUGAGUAACGCGUGAGUAAUUUGCCUUCGGGUGGGGAAUAACAGCCGGAAACGGCUGCUAAUACCGCAUGAUGCAGCGGCACCUCAUGGUGACAGUUGUUAAAGCGGGGGAUCGCAAGACCUCGCGCCUGAAGAGAAGCUCGCGGCAGAUUAGCUAGUUGGUAGGGUAACAGCCUACCAAGGCAACGAUCUGUAGCCGGCCUGAGAGGGCGGUCGGCCACACUGACACUGACACACGGGUCAGACUCCUACGGGAGGCAGCAGUCGGGAAUUUUGGGCAAUGGGCGAAAGCCUGACCCAGCAACGCCGCGUGAAGGAUGAAGUAUUUCGGUAUGUAAACUUCACAAGAGUGGGAAGAAUAAGUGGGGGCUAAUACCCCCCAUGAUGACGGUACCAUUUGUAAGCUCCGGCUAACUCCGUGCCAGCAGCCGCGGUAAUACGGGGGGAGCAAGCGUUGUUCGGAUUUACUGGGCGUAAAGGGCGCGUAGGCGGCGCAACAAGUCAGUUGUGAAACCUCUGGGCUUAACCCAGAGCGGUCAACUGAUACUGUCGUGCUAGAGUGCGGAAGGGGCAACUGGAAUUCUCGGUGUAGCGGUGAAAUGCGUAGAUAUCGAGAGGAACACCUGCGGCGAAGGCGGGUUGCUGGGCCGACACUGACGCUGAGGCGCGAAAGCUAGGGGAGCGAAAGGGAUUAGAUACCCCUGUAGUC